AACUCUUAACGGGGGAUCACUCGGCUCGUGGGUCGAUGAAGACCGCAGCAAACUGCGUGUCGGUUAUGUGAAUCGCAAGAAUACCAGAUACAUCGACAAGUUGAACGCAUAUUGCGGCGGCGGCAGCCAUAUGAGCUUGUCGCCGCCACUCCUCUACGAGGGUCG
This 165-nucleotide ribosomal RNA is filed under the name Homarus americanus (American lobster). RNAcentral's name for it is "5.8S ribosomal RNA". It matches the Rfam family "5.8S ribosomal RNA". Rfam says of the family: 5.8S ribosomal RNA (5.8S rRNA) is a component of the large subunit of the eukaryotic ribosome. Lineage: Eukaryota; Metazoa; Arthropoda; Malacostraca; Decapoda; Nephropidae. The record is from Rfam by way of RNAcentral.